Molecule: long non-coding RNA, 3245 nt
Organism: Thalassophryne amazonica
Lineage: Eukaryota; Metazoa; Chordata; Actinopteri; Batrachoidiformes; Batrachoididae
Exons: 2
Source: RefSeq, a predicted model, not a curated record
CUGAGCUCGUCCAUUGGCUCGUAGCAGGAGAGCAAAAAUGGCGUAGUGUGGAAGGUCUGCGAGGGAAGGAGACGAGGGGCCCUUCUCCUCGCUCCGCCUCCCCAGGGGUGAGGAAGGAGAAGGAGAAAUGUUUUAUUCUCCGCGUCUUCACCCGGUUUGGUCUUUGUGUAUUCUGCCACUUUGGGGAUGAGUGUGGAGCGUGUGUCGGCAGAGGAAGAAGCCUGGCUUUUGUUUAGCUUUGUUUGUAGCCACAGUGCACCGACCGUACGAACCAACAAUCAGCAAGCUGUACUACAGUCACCGAAGGUCCAGAGUGGAGUGAUGUCCCCCUGACCCAUCAGUUCAGAAGCAGCUGUAUCGACGGCUCAGCAUCACCUCAAAGGAGAUGAGUCAGCAGCCAUUGUGAAGACGACGUAUUUGGGCUUCUUGGACACACGCCCCUCCUUCCUGACAUUACCAAGUUGUUGGAGCACGUUCCUCGACAGCAUCCCUUCUUGUCCUUGCCUCUUAUGUUGUCACAUAGGACAUCUGCCAAAGAAUGUCCUUCUCAGGCUAGUCUUAAAUUCAUCAUGUACAUACUGACUACAUGUAGCCUGAUCAUGACUCACAACUCCAUAAGCAGGCUGUAAAGGUUCAGAUUUCUGUUGUGGUCUCAGCCGUUUUUGCAUUAUUUCCAGUAUGUAUUUGUGAAGUUCCUGAAACUGCAUGUAUGCAAACUCACGAUUUAACACCCCCACCCUGUAAUUGUAUAAAAGCAGUUGAAGGUUAUUCGUGUGCCAUUUUCUACAAAGAAACAAAAGACACAAGAUACUGUAGCAAAGAUCAAGGUCUGUGAUUAAAUUACACUCCUAUGGUGUUCCCCCCCCCCCCCCCCCCUCUACCUCACUGAUGAACAACUCCAUCAGGAGUGAUGAGUACAAGUAGCUUAAAAGAGCAAGUGCCACAGCAGAUAUAUAUCAUUUCUGGAUGGAUUUCAUUUUAGUUGGAUACCACAGGUAUAGAUUUUAAGAAAUCAGGUUGAUGCCCAUGUAACAAAUGCCCUCUCUUAGUUGAUUACAAAAAAAAAAAAAAAGACUCGAACUGUGGUCUCCUAUGCAUCUAAUCUGAAGAGGGCAGCAAUCUAUUUCUUGCUCCUGUAGCUCAGCAUGACCCGUUUCAGGUAGCAUCUGGUUAUUAUGCUCAUCAGUUGAAGCACAAUUUCUGCAAAGUAGAUAUCUCGAGUUUAAUUAUGUCCUUUAAUCUGUAAUAUGCUUUGGUUUAGUGUCCUGCCCUCAUUUUAAUGUUCUAGUUGUGUCUUGUAGUAAGCAUGCGAAUGAUGACUGACAUCAUUCGGGAGAGAAUGAACUCUAAAUACCACAUAAACAAGAUACCCACGUCUGCUUUUCCACCAUGUUACAGUAGAAUUUUAAUCAAACAUGAUUUUGACUUUCCCCAAACUCUUGGCUAAAUUUAAAGAAUUUUUUGUCCUUACUUCAAGGUAACCCUGAUGUUUUUUUUCAUCCACCUUAUUUUAAGUCCACUUUUAGAUGUGUGCAUUUUGUUUUGUUAAAGAAGGGAGAGGAACAUGUAUUCUGGGACUUGUGCAAUAUUUGAUCUUAACUGUCAUGUUGUUAACCAAACUGUAUAUUGUAUAAACAAGUGACAAGUUGUUUGAAAGCAACAAAAUCACCAAUGUCUUCCAUUAAGAAAUGUAUAGACUCAUGUGCAUUAGCUUAUUUAACAGGCCUCUGCUGCCAACAUUAUGGUAGCCAUGCAUGACUAGUAAUGACGCUUGCUUCAUGAAGAAUAGUGAAACAGAUUUCUAUACUAAAGUGGAAUGCAAAACUGUAGAAACCACUUCAGUAAAAUUAAAAGAUAACAGGUUGGUGUAGUACUUUUUUUUAGUACAAAGUGUUUUACCCAGCAUGCUUAUUGAUCUUACACCAGUGAUGGCUCUCAUUUUUACCCCAGGUGGAGGCUGCAAGUAUUAUCCAAAUGUUAAAUCUGACCCAAAGUAUUGAUUGAAGUCACUUUAAAUUGUCUAAUAACUUGUAGUUUUGAAAAUAACUGGUAUUAUAACCAGCACUUGGAUUUUUAUCUGGUGGGGAGGCAAAAAAUUUACUUUUCUUUAACCUCAAAGCAUCAACGUAGGUAGUUUUUACAUGGAGAAAAAUAUGAUUUAGCAUAACGCAGUAGAUUUAAAUACUUCAGUUCUAGACUUAGGCAAGGAAACAGUGUAGUAUCAUAAAUUAGGGUCUCAAUACGACUUUCUAAUGUACAUAACUCAUAAUUUUAGCAUUUGUAUCAUAUUUUAAUCCACAAAUUGUAUUUAAUUAGUGUUUUAGAAGCAAUAACCUACAGUAAUGCAUGUGUUUAGGGUGGAAGUGUUAAAGGAUUCUGUAAUAUUAUGUGGAAAGAAACCUGGUGUCAUUUAACAGAGGACACAAAUUAAGCUAAAUACUUCAUAGGUUGUUUUCCAUGCAGUGUAUUCUUUUAGAACUUAAUCAUUUCAUAUGAGAGAUGUUUUGUGCAUUUAAAAAAAUAAAAUCUUAAUCCUUGUUGCAGUAUAAUCCAACCUAACCCUCUUCUUAAAAUAAUAAAAAUAAACCACAUGGUUGCAAGGACACAACUAAUUUAAGAAAAGCACUUUUUUUUGGUACAAACCUGCAUUGUCAUCGACAUCAUUCUGUCUUGAAUAAUGUGUUUAAAAAACCCUGUAACAUUCUGUGGGGAUUUAUAAUCACAAUUUAAACGCAAGUAGCAACUUGAAUAUAUGGGUAAAAAAUAAAUAUAUGCAUGAUUUAGAAUGACGAAUGAUUUUUGUAUUGCAUGCAAUAAUCCAAUUUUGUAAUGUGAAUGAGUGUAAGUAGGAUCAUGAAGUGUUCGUAUGAGAUACUGCGUAAAAUGCUUGGGGAUUCUGAGCUUUGAUAAUCACUUCUGAGCGGACGCAAACUACACCACUUAAAGUCAAAUACGUUAACAGGAGCUGGUUUUUAUUGUUGCUGCUGUCUGAAGGAUCAAAGUGGAAGAAGCACCACAGUGUGGCACUGAUCAAACCUCUGUUCCCAAGAAAACAAAGCUUAAUUAAUGUUUAGCAACGUUACUUUGUUCAACUUUUCCACUGAGGAGGUGGACGUGUAGAAUCUAUGCACUCCAGAGAGAGGAAACGGGCAUGCUGAGUACGUGUGAGCCUCUUGUCUGGCUAUGUAUCAAGUAUUAAAAGAAUCUGUAUCAGAAAUUCAGCAAUAAAUGCAGCAUGGUGCCAA